GAGCUUGCUCUCGGGUGACGAGUGGCGGACGGGUGAGUAAUGUCUGGGAAACUGCCUGAUGGAGGGGGAUAACUACUGGAAACGGUAGCUAAUACCGCAUAACGUCGCAAGACCAAAGAGGGGGACCUUCGGGCCUCUUGCCAUCAGAUGUGCCCAGAUGGGAUUAGCUAGUAGGUGGGGUAACGGCUCACCUAGGCGACGAUCCCUAGCUGGUCUGAGAGGAUGACCAGCCACACUGGAACUGAGACACGGUCCAGACUCCUACGGGAGGCAGCAGUGGGGAAUAUUGCACAAUGGGCGCAAGC
This 305-nucleotide ribosomal RNA is filed under the name Enterobacter cloacae. RNAcentral's name for it is "bacterial SSU rRNA". It matches the Rfam family "Bacterial small subunit ribosomal RNA", at positions 76 to 382 of the family's 1533-position model. The record is from RNAcentral. Lineage: Bacteria; Pseudomonadati; Pseudomonadota; Gammaproteobacteria; Enterobacterales; Enterobacteriaceae.